RNAcentral lists this ribosomal RNA (229 nucleotides) under uncultured bacterium. RNAcentral describes it as "partial 16S ribosomal RNA". It matches the Rfam family "Bacterial small subunit ribosomal RNA", at positions 568 to 796 of the family's 1533-position model. The record is from RNAcentral.
CAUGUAGGCGGCAUAACAAGUCUGGUGUGAAAUAUCUCGGCUCAACCGAGAAAACGCACUGGAAACUGUCAAGCUUGAGUAUCGGAGGGGAAGCUAGAAUUCCUGGUGUAGGGGUGAAAUCUGUAGAUAUCAGGAAGAAUACCGGUGGCGAAGGCGAGCUUCUGGCCAGAUACUGACGCUGAGAUGCGAAAGCGUGGGGAGCGAACAGGAUUAGAUACCCUGGUAGUCC